RNAcentral lists this ribosomal RNA (46 nucleotides) under Acremonium sp. r265. RNAcentral describes it as "partial 18S ribosomal RNA". It matches the Rfam family "Eukaryotic small subunit ribosomal RNA", at positions 1786 to 1831 of the family's 1831-position model. Lineage: Eukaryota; Fungi; Ascomycota; Sordariomycetes; Hypocreales; Bionectriaceae. The record is from RNAcentral.
AAGUGGUAACAAGGUCUCCGUUGGUGAACCAGCGGAGGGAUCAUUA